RNAcentral lists this ribosomal RNA (443 nucleotides) under Equus caballus (horse). RNAcentral's name for it is "partial 12S ribosomal RNA". It matches the Rfam family "Bacterial small subunit ribosomal RNA", at positions 776 to 1404 of the family's 1533-position model. Lineage: Eukaryota; Metazoa; Chordata; Mammalia; Perissodactyla; Equidae. The record is from RNAcentral.
AAUUAGAUACCCCACUAUGCUUAGCCCUAAACUAAAAUAGCUUACCACAACAAAGCUAUUCGCCAGAGUACUACUAGCAACAGCCUAAAACUCAAAGGACUUGGCGGUGCUUUACAUCCCUCUAGAGGAGCCUGUUCCAUAAUCGAUAAACCCCGAUAAACCCCACCAUCCCUUGCUAAUUCAGCCUAUAUACCGCCAUCUUCAGCAAACCCUAAACAAGGUACCGAAGUAAGCACAAAUAUCCAACAUAAAAACGUUAGGUCAAGGUGUAGCCCAUGGGAUGGAGAGAAAUGGGCUACAUUUUCUACCCUAAGAACAAGAACUUUAACCCGGACGAAAGUCUCCAUGAAACUGGAGACCAAAGGAGGAUUUAGCAGUAAAUUAAGAAUAGAGAGCUUAAUUGAAUCAGGCCAUGAAGCGCGCACACCCCGCCCGUCACCCUC